RNAcentral lists this ribosomal RNA (253 nucleotides) under uncultured bacterium. RNAcentral describes it as "partial 16S ribosomal RNA". It matches the Rfam family "Bacterial small subunit ribosomal RNA", at positions 524 to 776 of the family's 1533-position model. The record is from RNAcentral.
UACGGAGGGUGCAAGCGUUAUCCGGAUUCACUGGGUUUAAAGGGUGCGUAGGUGGGCAGGUAAGUCCGUGGUGAAAUCUCCAAGCUUAACUUGGAAACUGCCGUGGAUACUAUCUGUCUUGAAUACCGUGGAGGUGAGCGGAAUAUGUCAUGUAGCGGUGAAAUGCUUAGAUAUGACAUAGAACACCAAUUGCGAAGGCAGCUCACUACACGCUUAUUGACACUGAGGCACGAAAGCGUGGGGAUCAAACAGG